GAUGGUUUCUGCUUAUCUCAUGCGGAUUCUUGCUAAAAGUAAUGUAAGUGGUGUUCCCAGGAUCUGAUUCUUGCAAUACUGGAGAGAACACAUGGGUCAUGAGAGCAAGAACAAAAAGAAGACAUACAGUGGGAAAGAGUUGCCCUGGAAUGUUUUCUUAACCCAAGCUCCAAAGACUUGCGUUCCCGGGAAAAGCUGUCACUCCAAAACUUGGGAAGGAAGAUAAACACAGAGUCAAAGAAGAUAGAGAAUCACAGUUGAAGUUGACUUACACAGAGUGGAUGUUGCUGAAGUUAUAAACUGGUAGGAACACUUAAAUAGCAAUUUUGAUGAAUUGCUGAAGACUGUGAACAAAGUUAAAAGUGAGAACUAGGGAUCCCUGGGUGGCGCAGCGGUUUGGCGCCUGCCUUUGGCCCAGGGUGCGAUCCUG
Molecule: long non-coding RNA, 430 nt
Organism: Canis lupus familiaris (dog)
Lineage: Eukaryota; Metazoa; Chordata; Mammalia; Carnivora; Canidae
Exons: 3
Source: RefSeq, a predicted model, not a curated record